GCGAGUGAAGCGGCAAAAGCUCAAAUUUGAAAUCUGGCCUUCUGGUCCGAAUUGUAAUUUGAAGAAGCGACUCUGGUACCGGCCCUUGUCUAUGUUCCUUGGAACAGGACGUCACAGAGGGUGAGAAUCCCGUGCGAUGGGGUGUCCGGUGCUAUGUAGAGCGUUUUCGACGAGUCGAGUUGUUUGGGAAUGCAGCUCUAAGUGGGUGGUAAAUUCCAUCUAAAGCUAAAUAUUGGCGAGAGACCGAUAGCGAACAAGUACUGUGAAGGAAAGAUGAAAAGAACUUUGAAAAGAGAGUGAAAAAGUACGUGAAAUUGUUGAAAGGGAAGGGCUUGGGAUCAGACAUUGUAUUUCCAUGGCGCUCUCUCGGGGGUGUCCUCUGGGUUUACAGGGCCAGCAUGGGUUCUGCGGGCAAGAUGAGGGUUUGGGGAAUGUGGCUCUGCUUCGGCGGAGUGUUAUAGCCCUGGACACCGGUUGCCACGCGGGACCGAGGAUUGCGAAUCUAGGAUGCUGGCAUAAUGAUCUUAAGCCGCCC
This 535-nucleotide ribosomal RNA is filed under the name [Candida] sp. EN7M01. RNAcentral describes it as "eukaryotic LSU rRNA". It matches the Rfam family "Eukaryotic large subunit ribosomal RNA", at positions 89 to 650 of the family's 3401-position model. The record is from RNAcentral. Lineage: Eukaryota; Fungi; Ascomycota; Saccharomycetes; Saccharomycetales.